UACGAAGGGGGCUAGCGUUGUUCGGAAUCACUGGGCGUAAAGCGCACGUAGGCGGAUUGUUAAGUCGGGGGUGAAAUCCUGAGGCUCAACCUCAGAACUGCCUUCGAUACUGGCAAUCUCGAGUCCGGAAGAGGUUGGUGGAACAGCUAGUGUAGAGGUGAAAUUCGUAGAUAUUAGGAAGAACACCAGUGGCGAAGGCGGCUCACUGGCCCGGUACUGACGCUGAGGCGCGAAAGCGUGGGGAGCAAACAGG
RNAcentral lists this ribosomal RNA (253 nucleotides) under uncultured bacterium. Its description in RNAcentral is "partial 16S ribosomal RNA". It matches the Rfam family "Bacterial small subunit ribosomal RNA", at positions 524 to 776 of the family's 1533-position model. The record is from RNAcentral.